Molecule: ribosomal RNA, 400 nt
Filed under: uncultured bacterium
Lineage: Bacteria
Description: bacterial SSU rRNA
Rfam family: Bacterial small subunit ribosomal RNA
Source: RNAcentral
UGGGGAAUAUUGGACAAUGGGGGAAACCCUGAUCCAGCCAUGCCGCGUGUGUGAAGAAGGCCUUAGGGUUGUAAAGCACUUUCAAUUGGGAGGAAAAGCUGAAGGCUAAUAACCUUCAGCCUUGACGUUACCUUUACAAGAAGCACCGGCAAACUCCGUGCCAGCAGCCGCGGUAAUACGGAGGGUGCGAGCGUUAAUCGGAAUAACUGGGCGUAAAGCGCGCGUAGGUGGUCAAGUAAGCAGGAUGUGAAAUCCCCGGGCUCAACCUGGGAACUGCAUCCUGAACUGCUUGGCUAGAGUAUGAUAGAGGGUAGUGGAAUUCCAGGUGUAGCGGUGAAAUGCGUAGAUAUCUGGAGGAACAUCAGUGGCGAAGGCGACUACCUGGAUCAAUACUGACACU